This 899-nucleotide long non-coding RNA is filed under the name Rattus norvegicus (Norway rat). RNAcentral's name for it is "long non-coding RNA NONRATT031963". Lineage: Eukaryota; Metazoa; Chordata; Mammalia; Rodentia; Muridae. The record is from RNAcentral.
GUGUUGUUCAGACUGUAUGAACGUGAGGGGAGGAGCGGGACUGGUUCCGUCCAACACUGAAUGCAGGUUGGAUCUGCACACUCAAGACCGAGAUUGUAGGUGAAAGGAGUUUAAGGCUGUUCUACAGGAUUCACUGUAGUCCUCAGAGUACAUCAGGAGGAUACAUUUUUCUUGCAUGGAGAAUGGAUGAUGUGUGCACUUUUGAAAGUUCGUAGGCUUUCAAUCUGCCUCCUGUUCACCUUGAAGUGAUUGCUGGAUGCCGGUUCCUCAUGCAGGAGUCUGAGCUUCUGCAGAAACUCGGUGAACCACUAUAAGAACACAGAAGCACAUUACACUCCUCAAGGAACCGUUCCUCCCAGAAUCUCUAACGAGCUGCCUUCCUGCCCAUCUGACAAAGACCAAGGGCAAAGCCCUCCCAAAUGCACACCCUUUAUACCCUACCUGCCAUUUAGAGGAGGAGAAGGAGUGGCCAUACUCUUCGAUGCAGGCCCAGUAGAGAAGGAAGAGGCACCAGCUGUCCCUUUCAGUUUGUGGAGUCUGCCUUUCUCAGGCCAUCACCUCAUUCAGGGACACACAAACCUGGGGACACUGAGAGCAUCCCUCAUUCUGCAUGUUUCAGGGAAAGCUGUCUCUGAGAGAAAUAUAAAGGGUGAGCCCCUUUCAUCUAGGCAAGCAUUGUGGGAAACACUGACUUUAAAAAGCCAUAGAAAAGAUUCCUGUAAACACCUGCCUUCUUUCACACAUUGGGCAAUAGAGAAAAACAGUCUAACUAAAUAUGUGUAAAACUGAUACUUUAUUACCCUGUUUUAAGAUUCUAUUUCUAUGUUUAGUUUAAAUUGUAUCGUUGCAUUAUAAUAAAUGUUAAUGACAUUAAACUCAUAAUUUCACAUUCAUAGAUA